GUNNNGUUUUAUUCUNGCUUGAUCUUCUCUUUUUGGUUUUUUAUACAUGCAUUUUUUGGAUUAAGUUAAAUUAUGGAUGUUCUGGUAGUUAUUUAUUAAGGUGCAGUGUUUGGUUUUAUAGAUUUAGUUAAGGCUUGAUAUAGGUAAAUGAUGAAGUUUCGGUUAAAUUCGUGCCAGCUGCCGCGGUUAGACGGUGGAGGCGAAGGGAAGAAAAAUGUUAAGUAUUAUAGUUAUAUUGGUUUGGUAUAAGGAGGAUUAGUGAAGAAUGAGUAUGGGUGAAAUUUUAUUGUUGUUUGAGGGCCUUUAUCGGUGAAGCUAUGAAAGUAUUAUUAUAGACUAGGAUUAGAUACCCUAUUAUUAAUAUUGUUAAGUGAAGUAUGUUAGGGUAGUAGUAGAUAAGUGCUUGAAACCCAAAGAAUUUGGCGGUAUUUUAGUCUAUUCAGAGGAACCUGUCCCGUAAUCGAUAGUCCACGUUAUAAUCUUACUURUUAUUGUAKUUCAGUUUGUAUACCGCCGUCUUUGGAAAGAUUUGGAGAURAUUUUCAUUAUUUUUAWUKRAAKAAAUAUCAGGUCAAGGUGCAGCUAAUUAAUAAGRGGAGAUGGGUUACAAUAAUUUGUUUAUUAUGGAUUAUUUGUUGAAAUAYAUUYUGAAGGUGGAUUUGAAUGUAAUUAUUAUAAUAAUGUAAUUUUGAGUUUAGCUCUAAAGUAUGCACACAUCGCCCGUCGCUCUCAUUUUARUUGAGAUAAGUCGUAACAUAGUAGGUGUAUUGGAAAAUGUACCUAGRUUGAA
This 790-nucleotide non-coding RNA is filed under the name Thermobia sp. XL-2019. The record is from RNAcentral. Lineage: Eukaryota; Metazoa; Arthropoda; Insecta; Zygentoma; Lepismatidae.